Haliotis rubra (blacklip abalone) is the source of this 134-nucleotide long non-coding RNA. RefSeq lists it as uncharacterized. The record is from RefSeq and is a predicted model, not a curated record. The transcript has 4 exons. Lineage: Eukaryota; Metazoa; Mollusca; Gastropoda; Lepetellida; Haliotidae.
UUAAUAAUGUGAUGUUUUACGAUCGCAUUUAGUGAUAGUAAGACAAAGUUAUAUCAAUCUUCAAAACAAGUAUUAUUGAAGUAAUAUCCCGGGGCAGAGGGACAAUAUUGACGUAAUAUCCCGGGGCUGAGGGA